This 547-nucleotide ribosomal RNA is filed under the name uncultured bacterium. RNAcentral's name for it is "bacterial SSU rRNA". It matches the Rfam family "Bacterial small subunit ribosomal RNA", at positions 776 to 1320 of the family's 1533-position model. The record is from RNAcentral.
UAAUAGAUACCCCGGUAGUCCACGCCCUAAACGAUGCGAACUGGAUGUUGGGUACAUUACGGUACUCAGUGUCGAAGCUAACGCGUUAAGUUCGCCGCCUGGGGAGUACGGUCGCAAGACUGAAACUCAAAGGAAUUGACGGGGGCCCGCACAAGCGGUGGAGUAUGUGGUUUAAUUCGAUGCAACGCGAAGAACCUUACCUGGCCUUGACAUCUGUCGAAUCCUGUAGAGAUGCGGGAGUGCCGCAAGGAACGACAAGACAGGUGCUGCAUGGCUGUCGUCAGCUCGUGUCGUGAGAUGUUGGGUUAAGUCCCGCAACGAGCGCAACCCUUGUCCCUAGUUGCCAGCACGUAAUGGUGGGAACUCUAGGGAGACUGCCGGUGACAAACCGGAGGAAGGUGGGGGAUGACGUCAAGUCCUCAUGGCCCUUACGGCCAGGGCUACACACGUACUACAAUGGUCGGUACAGAGGGUUGCGAAGCCGCGAGGUGAAGCCAAUCCCAGAAAAACCCGAUCCCAGUCCGGAUCGGAGUCUGCAACUCGACCG